CGGCGGCGGUAGCAGUGCGGCCCCUUUAAGAGGCCGAGGGGCGCGGCGACCGGGACACGCCCCCGCCCUUAAAGGCGCCGUGUCCGCUCGGAGGAGCCGGCGGGGUCUGUGCUGCGGUCGUGGCGCCACGUGCGCAGCGCGGGACGGUCUUUUAUAAGUUGUUUAUGCGUUUACCAGGCGUGAUCGUUGUUGUUCGAGGAAGGCGUGUCUUCGCGUGUUAUGACGGACCUUGUCGUGUGUUUACGUUUUUACGUGUAUUAAUAAGAAAACGAGAACAGCCCCACGCGCGAGCCGCGGGCGUCCGGGCCCAGGAUGCUGGCAGGCGUGAGCCCCCCGCACGACGAGCCAGGCGCAGGGCAGGCGGCAGCUCCGCGGUCCCCCGGGCGGGCGGUGUCCGGGCCGGAGCCGGGACGCGGCGCGGCGCGGAGGGGCGGCAGGACGUGCCAGGCAGGCCCCCGCGCCUCCCCGCAGGGCAGCUCCGUGCUCUGGACAGCGCAGUCAUCCCCGACCGCCCGCUGCCGCCCGCUACGUCUAAACUCCUUGCGCAAGACGAUGCCGCCGCCCGCCUCACGGACAGCGGCGUGGUCUGGCCCGUGCUCCCGCCACCCCAGCUGCAGGAAGGAGGAGCCACUUUGCAACCUCUCUGGGCUGUUGCAGCUGCUGAAUCCUAGAUAAACCCGCCGAGAGCCCUUCUGCACUAAAGGUCGGACAGGCAACAGCCCUUCCAACGGCCGGCUGGGACCAGGGGAAAUGCUUGAGGGCCAGGAGUAAAAGCGCUGAGGGGUAUGCGUACCCCAUGGCCUCCCUAAGCCCAUAGGCACGUGAUGGGGCAGGGGUGGGCGAGCCCUCUUGGUUCUUUAGCAGUUUUCAACUCUCAGGAAGUAAGGGGACGCUGCUUUCAUCAGCUGUGAAUCUGGGAAGCACCACAGGCUAGCACAUAAAGACAAGAGUCUGCCUCCAGACCCUGAUACUGCAAGUGACUCCAUAUGGACAAGUCCUUGCAUCACACCAGGCCUUGCUUUAUCUGCUUGCAUAACCAGGUGUAAUAAUUCCUGUCUCCUGAGGGUGUUGCAAAGCUUAAUUUGUUAAUGUUUGCAAAGUGCUUGGCAAUCAGAAAAGCAAAAUAUCAUCAUCUGACGGAACUCAUUUUACCGGAGCGGCACUGAAAGAAUCCAAGAUGCAAUCACUACCUUCCACUGCUUUUGUUUUGUUUCUGCUUUUAGGCAAUUGGUCUGCACAGACUUAAGCUGACAGGCAGCUAAAUAUUUGGUCAUCAUUUGGUACACAUCAGUAGAUGCUUACUGAAACCCAGGGGCUCUGCUGACAUAUCAGCUAAAGAUCAGACUGUCUAUAUUGUAGACGGAGCUCACUAUUUUAUGAUGCUUUCAGCUAUUUCAGUUGCUCUUAAUGAAUGUUACCCAGCAGCGCUUUCAAACUUCCUGACAAAAUCAUCACGUGACCAGUGGAGUGUGAUCAAAGCAAGGAGGGGAACGGAAUACAAAUCCAGGCCAGUGAUUCAGUUUCUCACUGAAAUAAACUGAAGAGCUUCUCAAACCAGGAUUAAAUUUAGCUUCUGUGAGUACAUCUACCCAAGACAUUUACUGGGGAGUAGACUAAUUAGCUCUGCAGUACACAUCUCAGCAUCUACACGUUUGGCCUUAUUAGGCUGCAGGAAACUAACAAGCUUCACAGCUGGUUAGUACUUAUAAAUACAAGUAUUAUCCUGUUGUGGAGUUUUUUCAUGUAUAACAGUGCAUGUGCGGAUGCUGACCCAGGUGGUUGGGGCAUGAGACUGCUUCAGUCCAGAGGUAGCCUGCCAGUUAGCCCUGUACUGGAGCACCCUUAUGCCCCUGCCAGCCCUUCUGCAGCACAUCGAGCUGGGUCAGAGCAGUGCCAGGCCAUAGGCCCCUUGCCAGCUGGGACCGCUCCAACUUGGCUCAAUGUGCUGAGGUCCUGAGCACUUGUAUAAACAGUCACUCAGGAGCAAUAAAAUCUGCCGGGAUAUGCAUUAAUAUACAUGUGUAGAUGUGUCCAAUACGUAGCAACUCCGGAUAGAUGGAUGCAUACAAAGAUGGUAGCCCUCAUCUUUCAAACACACCCAGGUUAGCUAGGCACUGGUGGCAGAGAUUGUAGGUAAGCUAGUGAUCAGCAGGGAUCCUGGUUUUCUCUGAUUUAAAAAAAUUCCCAAUUUUCGGUUAAAAAAAAAAGUAAUCCCAAAUCCACAUUUUUCCAUGAUUUAAAUGAAAUGUCACUAAUAUAUAGGUAUGUAUAUAGUGGGGUUUCAUUUUGAUCAUGGAAAAAUGUGGAUUUGUGGUUACUUUUUUUAAACUGAAAAUUGGGGAUUUUUUUUAAUCAGAGAAAACCAGGAUCCCUGGUGAUCAGUAGGUAAGGUGCUUGGCUGAUUGCAGAGGGUAGUUAGCAAGAGAGGGUCCCAUUGACACCCAGAUAAAAUAAUCCCCAUAAAAGAAAAACCUCCAUGUCAUUCACCAGACACUUCCUUUGUGGGGAAGACAGAUGGGAGUAGGUAUGGGGGGAAGUUUCUGUGGAUCCCAUCAGUUCCGUAUGGAUCAUGGGGAAUCGGUAUAAGACAUGUUGCCCCCUGGAUCCUGCUGGUCCCUGGAGAGCAUUGUCGAUGCACCAGCUGUGCUUCUAGAAGCAAGCUCAAUCAUGGCUGCCCCAGAGCCCUAUUAAAGUGGUACCACAUAAUUGCUUUUCAGCCUUUUGGCUAAAAUCAAGUGUGACAGGGGCACCUGAACUUCCAGUCCUAGGACUGCAUGUAGGAUGCCAGUCUGGAUAUAGGGAACAUCUGAACUCCGAGGCCUGCAGGCCUAGGACGUUAGAUACUGGCCUGGUUGAAGUUAUAUUGGCAAUGGAUACCAGUAGGCACAGUUAUUGAGCUUUUCUCAGUUGGAUUUGGAAUUUAAUUGGCUAUUGGAAAUAAAUAAAUAAAUAUAUAUGGAAAUAUAUGUAUGUAUACAUAAGGUGGUGCCCCAUAGCACAGAAUGAGAAACAGUAUAAGUAAAUAGCCUAAGGUGAAUUUCUGUCCUUGGCCCCAGCUCACUCUACAGAGUCUCCCAUGGAGCCAGAAUUUAGGAGCAAAGCGUGCAGGGUCAUGGUGCGAAGGUGAGCAUCAUCUCCCUCCACACCUGGCUCUGGAGGGAUGCAUGCAGUCUCAGGCAAAGACAUAUUUUGGGAGCAAAUUGAGCUCCAUUGCCACUCGCAUUCAAACACACCUUGUUCAGACUCCGUUAUCUCUGAGGGGGCAACAAAUUUAACUUCUCCAGGCCCUGUGACACCCACUGGAAAAUCAAAGGCACUAACUGGCUCCAGCUGACUGAAGGGUUCCCCUGUACAAAGGCCAUGUGUUUCAUCAUAUACCAAGAGAGAACUGUGUCUGCUUGCAUGCAUGAGCUGUUGCAUGAGAAAGGGGCCCCUUCUAGAUCCGGUCCUAUUUGAGCUGACAGUGGUCUUGGGUAAUUUCACUGCUCAAAAUCACGGUCUUGUUCUAUUGCAUUGACAUAACUGACUUGGAUUUGUGUCUCAUCUUAAAGGCUGAGUCUAUUUUACUCCAGACUAUGCCCAGGAAUAGGGGGGUGAGGAACAGAUCAGCUCCCCCUUUACACAGAUCACUUCUAAUCUCCCUGCAUGAAGGAAGUAAAAGGCAUUUGAAACAGAAGAAAGGAAAUUGUUUUUCAUACUGUGCAUACUUAAGUGUGGAACUCACUGCCACAAGGUACCUGGAGAACAAGAGAAUUCACAGCAGAACAUCCCCUGUUAUAUUAGAUUAAAAAAUUACAAGGGCUGUUACCUCUCAAGCAUCGGAGAUUGGGGCAAACUCUGGCUGAUGAGAGUGAGGAAGAAAAUGGUGCAGUUAGUUUGUAGUUUUCUACCCUGGGAUUUCUCCUUGAAGUAUCUGCUGCUGAUCAGUGCCAGGAACAGAGGGAGGGGAGCCAUCAGUGUGAUUGCAGAGAAGCUCAGCUUGGCUUAGCAGAGAACUCUUCAGUGAGCUUAAACACAAAAAGGAAGCUUAAAAGAAGUGGAAGCUUGGACAGUUGACUAGGGAGGAAUAUAUUCUUAUAUUGCUUGGGCAUGCAGGGAUGAAAUCAGGAAGGCCAGAGCACAAUUGAAAAAUCUUGCCUGAUUUUAGGCAGGGUAAUGAUUUGCUGGGCCUCAAGUUACUGCAGGGGAAAGGAAAUUAGUAGCAACAAUACCCUGUGGUUCCCUUUCAUUCAGGGCUCUUGAAGGUGAGUAAAGUAUCAUCAUCUCUCUUUAGACUAAUGGGAAACCAAGGUGCAAAGCAGUGAAGUGACUUGUCUAAGGUCAUAUCAUAAGUCAGUGGCAGAGCUUGCAUUUGGCUUGGCUCUCCUGACUUCCAGUUUCUUAUUAUAAAUGCUAGAUGCUGCUGCCUGGACUUCUCUGUCCCAGCCCCCUGGGUUGUGAGAGAACUACGCCUCCACAGCGCAGCCCAGGCAAGGCUGACUUGCAGUUUCUUGUUCAGACUCAACCAGAAGAUGCUUAGUCACUGCCCUUUUGAUCAGGUGCUGCCUGGCUUUGCCUCAGAGGAGAGCCAGGUUCAGAGGUGACCUUGGGAAUUCCUGCUUCUCCAGGCAGUGAGGUGCUGGAGCCUCAUGAAGGUGACACUAGUGACUGUUUUUUUAGGGCAAGGUGCAUUUCCCUGCGCUCAUGGGCACCCUCUAGUGUCCAUCGCAGCAUUGCAGGCAGUUGCCAAGUAGGGGGACAGGGAAGGAGUCAAAUGAGGGGUAGAGACGAGUCCUGGUGAGGAGCCAGGGGAUACCCUGAAGAAUUAGGGUUUGGACCAGCUGUCAGCCCAUGUCACGAAGCCAGGCUGAUGGGAGUGGGGGGUUGUAUGCAGAAAGAGAUGCCCCAUGUGUCCUGGUCUGCCUGGUGAGGGCAAAGGCAAAGCCCAGCCCAUGCUAAGGAUGCCAGAGCCUAGUCUCCUGACAACGCAUGUGAGCUUGUUCCUGUUUGCUGAGGCCUUUGUAUUUUGAUGGGUGUCCUGAAAAGCAGGAGAUGUUUUAACCUGGCCUGACAGAGCACAGAGCUGGGGUCAUGUGGAUCCCCUCAGUGCCAGGUGCUGCACAUGGGGGAGUCCCUGGCCAGGUUUGGGGGUGAAGGAAUGCAGGCAGAAGUGGACAGCAACCUGGAGAGUAAAGGCACAGCAUGCCAGAGCUCCCACUGGAAGUAUUCACUGCCUUUCUAACUGGAUGGUUCACCCAGAUGGAGUAAGAAAGGCCACUGGUCCAGGAUCUGAGAGACCUGGGUCCUUGCUGUGCCAGGGCUGCGGUGUGACUUCAGGCAAGUCACAGUCAGGGCUAAUCACCAUGGGUAAUAUUAUCUUCCCUCAAAGGGCUGUUGUGAAGCUAAAACCCGUUUGGGAUGAUGUGGCCAGUGAUAACUCCAGGGCUUUAUCUGGACAGACACAGGAACAUACCUGGGUGGGGGCUGCCAGCAGGGUGGGCUGGGCAAAACUACCUACAGGGAAUGUUGCCUGAUUGGCCCUUUGCUGCAGGAGAAGCUGUGAGUGAUCUGAGAUUCAUGUGUUGAUUUCUUUGGGAUGGGGAGUGAGGCAAGGGAUGACAACUUGGAAUUGUUGUAAUGUGACGUGCCGGAAACAUCACAAGAAACAGAAGGAAGUGUUUUCAUGCAGACGAGUACAGCACACACCUGAUAUGGAAAAAGCACAGAAUUUACCAGCUUAUUGCAGGGAUGACAAGCUAGGCUAAGGGCAGCCUUUGAAGUUCCUGAUAGAGUCCCUGAUGUGAAGGGAGUACCUAGAAAAGAGAUUGCAAAACUGACAACAGGGUGGCUGAAUUACAUGGUGAACUGGUGAAUGCUGAGUACCUCAACUCCCCUGGUUCCAGUUAGAUCUGAGGGUGCUCCACACCAGACAGGAUCAGGACCCCCGUGCAGAUGCCAAAAGACAAUGCCCAGCUGCAGGCAGGAAGUUGUCGGGGUGUUUGUAAUCCUUCCCACCAGACCUGCAUUUGGGAUACGCACCAAGGAGACUGUGUUCCUGGCUGAUGAUGAAAUAAAGCUGGUGAAGUGAGAGUUGAAGGAUAAAGCUGUUGUCUAUGGCCCUGAUCCCAUGAUGAGCCACCAGUCAGCUUGGCUGUAGCAGGCCUGGAUGUUGCUCCCCUGGUCAAUGGAAGUUGGUGGAACCAGGACUGCGUUUUUCAAGUCUGGGAUUCUGGGCUUCCUCUGUCCAGCUAAUGUUGGCUCUCAGGGCAUCACCUAGAGGAGGAGGAAUCUGAGACUCCAUUGUCAUGUUUUAAUGUCUCCCCAUAUAUUGCCAGUCCCUGAAGGUGGGAAAGAGGUCAAGGACAAGGAUCGAAAAUCAAGACUCCCGGUCCUUGUCCUUACCUUUCUUAUCACUGACUCCUUCCUACCACUGACUCCUUAGCUGAUUUCAAGCAAGUCACUUAAUUCACCCCAGCCUCAGUUUCCCCAUCCUAAAGAAUUCCGGCUUUGGAAGGGGUGUUGAGAUCCUCAGACAAAAGUCCCUGUACACAGGCAUCAUUUGGUUAAUUAUUAAUAAUUCAGUAUUUAGCUUCAACUCUUAGGCUGACUGUGUGCUGUGACCACUGCCUGUUGUGCUAACCAGGAUGGUCUCUGUCUCCCUGUGCUCCCCUGCCUGUCUGCCUGUCCCUUGUCUACCUAUUCGGUGUUACAUUUAGAUUAGAAGUUCCUUGAGCCAGGAGCCAUCUCUGAUCUGUGUUUGUACAGUGCUUGGCGCAGCAGGGUCCAUGCCUGGUGCUACCAUGAGAAGGAAAAGAAUGAUGAUAAAAUA
This is a long non-coding RNA of Alligator mississippiensis (American alligator), 6808 nucleotides long. RefSeq lists it as uncharacterized. The record is from RefSeq and is a predicted model, not a curated record. The transcript has 2 exons. NCBI's taxonomy places the organism in Eukaryota, Metazoa, Chordata, Crocodylia, Alligatoridae.